GUCAUCCCAAAGUAGAUGCAUCUAUUAUGAUUUGGUUUUCAUGUAGUGUGUUGCGGUCAACCUUCUUGCUUCUCCGUUUUCCUUUACGACCUAAAUUCAAAAAACACCUUACGUGCGUUUCAAGGCAACCUCUACCCCAUCCCGGUCUCUGUUUAUCUUUGUAUUUUUUUUGUAUAAAUAGAAUGUAGUUAAGAAGCAUUUUGGAACAUUUUUAUGUUAUGGGGCAUGAGAAUGAUAAUACUACCUCAAGUAUGGAUAAAGCGGGACAAAUGGGCUGAGAUGGAGUUACUGAAACUAUAAAUUUCCUCCCAUUUUGAUCAUUCAUCACUCCGUAGAAUCAAAAUGAACUAGCGAAUCCUUACAUUUGCUGUUAACGUUAGAUUAGUAUAGCAUUGUUGGUUCCUGUUUAGUUCCUGGUAAACGACAUACGAGUGAGAUAGUUUGGUCACCUCUGAUAGAUUGAGUUGUUAUGCUUGCAUUAGGCAAGCCGGUAGCCGGUGCGUUCCACGUCUAGGAGCAGGUCCCCUAAUGUAGCAUUUUCUUAAUAUGGUCAUGUGUUCUGAAUGUAAGAAACAAAAUAUGAAAGUAUGGAUCUCUCCUUUUUUUAUCCGGGGAUUCUGCCCUCUGGAUUUAGGGAUGUAGAUUUGAUAUACAGAUAUCGAAGAAGGCACUUAUUGUUUAUGUAGAUGAAUCAGUUUCCGUGAUUUCUCCUUUUGCCAUCUUGACUUUAGGUUCUUAUUGUUUAUGUAGAUGAAAAUUGUUGUGCAAUCUCAAGGUAACGAACGACUAACAAGACCAUGGUCUGCUGGUCAAAGAUUUAGACAUAGGACACACAAUAUAUCAUCUCUUAGGAUUCCGGUGAUCUCUAUCCAGGAUGCACUACACGUAUUUGAAAACUGAGAAUCAGAGACCUUGAUGAAAUUCAUCUCUGAAGUUUGCUUAAUUUGCUGAUGGUUCCAUGAACUUUCAAAGGACGGAGGUGCUCGGCUGGUUAUUUUUUGGUGAUGGCGGAGUCGCUAUUUCAGUAAACCAUUUGAUGUGCUAAAGAAUAAUAUGUAGAGAAGUCAUAUGUCUGAUGGGAAAAAAAUAGGCCAAUGAAGUGACUGAGCCAAAUUAAUAAUACCAUGUGGUUUUUCUUUUUAAGGCCAAUGAAGACUGCAAUGCUUCGUCUGCUCAAACCACAACCUCGGGGGAACCAGGAACUGAUUUUAGGCAGCCGAUGGUCGUGGACCAGGAAAGAACUCAUUUUCCAUUUCUCUAGCUCUGAAUUCAGGGUUCCAAAUCAAGGACUGCCCUCUUGUCCAUCGCAUGACGCGUCCAUUAUAGAUGCAAGUGGGGCAACAUUAGCGUCCAUGGGCUUGUGAUAGCCACUGCCGCGUUACUGUGCUAGAAGGAUAGACGGAGAAACCUACCGUAUAUUAUGCAGCUCAAGAAGGUGAUUUAAGAUCUUCCUUGUGAGGUACUUCAAAAAGUAUGUGUUCACAUACGAGAUGCAACCCUAUGCCCAUAGCUUUGUUUAUUAGAUUUGAUUUUGUGACAUGUUUGUGCAAUGGUGUCAGUUCCGAUUAGCUCUGAAUCUUGAAUGCUUACAGUAUAGCGCUAUCAAAUCUCUGGUUUUUGUACCCAGUGAGCUGCUGUAGGUAACAAGUUUGGUGUUGAAAACGGCGUUGAUUUACCAAACAUUCCAGUCCAUUCACUAGGUAUACCAGCUCCCUCCCCUCUCUUCUUUGAUUUUGCUCGUGAUGACCCACAAUACAUAAUGCAGGCCAUUUUUUAUGGAUAUAUGGACUACAAUAGGUAGUGUUUCUCUGCUCGGGUGUCAUUGUCAUCGACGGGCCUCUCAACUGCCUCGAGAUCCAGACUCAUCCAGCUCGCCGCCGUUUUUAUGCCUGAGUAAUUUCAGGGAAACUAACCAUGCCUUGAAAAUAGGUUGUUAAAGUUUUUUGUGUUGAUACUUUAUUUUGGAAGGCUUUUUAACUAUGAGACCACAAGGAAGUGGCUUUUGUGUAUGUACCAUUCCAAAUUUAUUCAUUAGUUUGAAUCUAUUCAGUGAUGAUUAUGUAUGAACUAAUUGUAGUUGGAUUAAAAUAGAUGUUUUAGCCAAAUUGUUCUUCCGUAGGGUUCAUGGUUUUUGUAGCAUGAUGUCUGAAUUAAUGGUGAAUGAUUAAACAACUCAUGGUUUUUGUUGUUGAUUCCAUUAGAGUGGUGCUUCUUUAGGGCUUUAUGUAGAAAGAAUGGAAGCUGACCUGAUUCUUCGAUGGUGUUUAUCCUGACAUCUUGUUUAUUUUCUUGGUUUCUUAAGAUCAUCUUUUCUGAACAUUGGGUGAGAAGCUAGAAGAGAAUGGUACUGCGAAUAUUCAGGACAAAAGAGAAUAUAUGAGAAGCUAGAAGAGAAUGGUACUGCAUAUUGGGUGAAGAAGACUGCAUAUGCCUAUACUGGUUGAAUGUAGUGGUUAUCAAUCAUCCAUUUUUUUUGAAGUGCAACCCUCAUGCUCUGGCCUGUAGCAAGAAUAUAUAUAUAUAUGUGGAGCUAGGCUAAGAUUCUGAUAUUGCUGCCUUUUGAACUGCAGUACAAAUGCUCUCGUCCAUGGCAGGAAUAUAUAUGGAGCUAGGCCAAUAUUCAGAUAUUGAUGUCCAGGUAUUGUAGAGUUUUUGGCGCUAGAAGCAUUCAUGUUCUAGAUUUUUAGUUGAAUUGUUCA
Long non-coding RNA from Lolium perenne, 2699 nucleotides. RefSeq lists it as uncharacterized. The record is from RefSeq and is a predicted model, not a curated record. NCBI's taxonomy places the organism in Eukaryota, Viridiplantae, Streptophyta, Magnoliopsida, Poales, Poaceae.